ACUCCUACGGGAGGCAGCAGUGGGGAAUAUUGGACAAUGGGGGCAAGCCUGAUCCAGCAAUGCCGCGUGAAUGAUGAAGGCCUUCGGGUUGUAAAGCUCUUUUGGCGGGGACGAUGAUGACAGUACCCGCAGAAUAAGCCCCGGCUAACUCCGUGCCAGCAGCCGCGGUAAU
This 172-nucleotide ribosomal RNA is filed under the name uncultured soil bacterium. RNAcentral's name for it is "partial 16S ribosomal RNA". It matches the Rfam family "Bacterial small subunit ribosomal RNA", at positions 335 to 524 of the family's 1533-position model. The record is from RNAcentral.